UACGGAGGGUGCAAGCGUUAUCCGGAUUCACUGGGUUUAAAGGGCGCGUAGGCGGCGCGGUAAGUCACUUGUGAAAUCUCUGAGCUUAACUCAGAACGGCCAAGUGAUACUGCAGUGCUAGAGUGCAGAAAGGGCAAUCGGAAUUCUUGGUGUAGCGGUGAAAUGCGUAGAUAUCAAGAGGAACACCUGAGGCGAAGGCGGGUUGCUAGGCUGACACUGACGCUGAGUGCGCGAAAGCCAGGGGAGCAAACGGG
RNAcentral lists this ribosomal RNA (254 nucleotides) under uncultured bacterium. Its description in RNAcentral is "partial 16S ribosomal RNA". It matches the Rfam family "Bacterial small subunit ribosomal RNA", at positions 524 to 776 of the family's 1533-position model. The record is from RNAcentral.